CCUACGGGUGGCAGCAGUGGGGGAUAUUGCACAAUGGGGGAAACCCUGAUGCAGCGACGCCGCGUGGGUGAAGAAGCGCCUCGGCGCGUAAAGCCCUGUCAGCAGGGAAGAAAAUGACGGUACCUUAAGAAGACGCCCCGGCUAACUACGUGCCAGCAGCCGCGGUAAUACGUAGGGGGCAAGCUUUAUCCGGAUGUACCGGGGGUAAAGGGGGCGCAGACGGCGAUGCAAGCCAGGAGUGAAAGCCCGGGGCCCAACCCCGGAACUGCACUUGGAACUGCGUGGCUAGAGUGCAGGAGGGGCAGGCGGAAUUGCUGGUGUAGCGGUGAAAUGCGUAGAUAUCAGGAGGAACACCGGUGGCGAAGGCGGCCUGCUGGACUGCAACUGACGUUGAGGCCCGAAAGCGUGGGGAGCAAACAGGAUUAGAUACCCUAGUAGUC
Molecule: ribosomal RNA, 440 nt
Filed under: uncultured bacterium
Lineage: Bacteria
Description: partial 16S ribosomal RNA
Rfam family: Bacterial small subunit ribosomal RNA
Source: RNAcentral